CCUACGGGCGGCAGCAGUGGGGAAUAUUGGACAAUGGGCGAAAGCCUGAUCCAGCCAUGCCGCGUGUGUGAAGAAGGCCUUCGGGUUGUAAAGCACUUUCAGUGGGGAAGAAAGCCUUGGGGCUAAUACCCUCGAGGAAGGACAUCACCCACAGAAGAAGCACCGGCUAACUCCGUGCCAGCAGCCGCGGUAAUACGGAGGGUGCGAGCGUUAAUCGGAAUUACUGGGCGUAAAGCGCGCGUAGGCGGUCUGAUAAGCUGGUUGUGAAAGCCCCGGGCUCAACCUGGGAACGGCAUCCGGAACUGUCAGGCUAGAGUGCAGGAGAGGAAGGUAGAAUUCCCGGUGUAGCGGUGAAAUGCGUAGAGAUCGGGAGGAAUACCAGUGGCGAAGGCGGCCUUCUGGACUGACACUGACGCUGAGGUGCGAAAGCGUGGGUAGCAAACAGGAUUAGAUACCCGGGUAGUC
Molecule: ribosomal RNA, 465 nt
Filed under: Vreelandella stevensii
Lineage: Bacteria; Pseudomonadati; Pseudomonadota; Gammaproteobacteria; Oceanospirillales; Halomonadaceae
Description: partial 16S ribosomal RNA
Rfam family: Bacterial small subunit ribosomal RNA
Source: RNAcentral